CCUACGGGACGCAGCAGUGGGGAAUAUUGCACAAUGGGGGAAACCCUGAUGCAGCGACGCCGCGUGAGUGAAGAAGUAUUUCGGUAUGUAAAGCUCUAUCAGCAGGGAAGAAAAUGACGGUACCUGACUAAGAAGCCCCGGCUAACUACGUGCCAGCAGCCGCGGUAAUACGUAGGGGGCAAGCGUUAUCCGGAUUUACUGGGUGUAAAGGGAGCGUAGACGGUAGAGCAAGUCUGAAGUGAAAGCCCGCGGCUCAACUGCGGGACUGCUUUGGAAACUGUUCAACUGGAGUGCUGGAGAGGUAA
RNAcentral lists this ribosomal RNA (305 nucleotides) under uncultured bacterium. Its description in RNAcentral is "bacterial SSU rRNA". It matches the Rfam family "Bacterial small subunit ribosomal RNA", at positions 338 to 660 of the family's 1533-position model. The record is from RNAcentral.